This 107-nucleotide small nuclear RNA is filed under the name Opisthocomus hoazin. The record is from RNAcentral. Lineage: Eukaryota; Metazoa; Chordata; Aves; Opisthocomiformes; Opisthocomidae.
GUGCUCGCUUCGGCAGCACUUAUACUAAAAUUGGAAUGGUACAGAGAAGAUUUUCAUGGCCCCUGAGCAAGGAUGACACGCACAUUCGUGAAGCGUUCCAGACUCAG